This 2923-nucleotide ribosomal RNA is filed under the name Klebsiella pneumoniae. RNAcentral's name for it is "bacterial LSU rRNA". It matches the Rfam family "Bacterial large subunit ribosomal RNA". Lineage: Bacteria; Pseudomonadati; Pseudomonadota; Gammaproteobacteria; Enterobacterales; Enterobacteriaceae. The record is from RNAcentral.
GGGUUGUGAGGUUAAGCGACUAAGCGUACACGGUGGAUGCCCUGGCAGUCAGAGGCGAUGAAGGACGUGCUAAUCUGCGAAAAGCGUCGGUAAGGUGAUAUGAACCGUUAUAACCGGCGAUGUCCGAAUGGGGAAACCCAGUGCAAUUCGUUGCACUAUCGUUAACUGAAUACAUAGGUUAACGAGGCGAACCGGGGGAACUGAAACAUCUAAGUACCCCGAGGAAAAGAAAUCAACCGAGAUUCCCCCAGUAGCGGCGAGCGAACGGGGAGCAGCCCAGAGUCUGAAUCAGCUUGUGUGUUAGUGGAACGGUCUGGAAAGUCCGACGGUACAGGGUGAUAGUCCCGUACACCAAAAUGCACAGGCUGUGAACUCGAAGAGUAGGGCGGGACACGUGGUAUCCUGUCUGAAUAUGGGGGGACCAUCCUCCAAGGCUAAAUACUCCUGACUGACCGAUAGUGAACCAGUACCGUGAGGGAAAGGCGAAAAGAACCCCGGCGAGGGGAGUGAAAAAGAACCUGAAACCGUGUACGUACAAGCAGUGGGAGCACCUUCGGGUGUGACUGCGUACCUUUUGUAUAAUGGGUCAGCGACUUAUAUUCUGUAGCAAGGUUAACCGUAUAGGGGAGCCGCAGGGAAACCGAGUCUUAACUGGGCGUUAAGUUGCAGGGUAUAGACCCGAAACCCGGUGAUCUAGCCAUGGGCAGGUUGAAGGUUGGGUAACACUAACUGGAGGACCGAACCGACUAAUGUUGAAAAAUUAGCGGAUGACUUGUGGCUGGGGGUGAAAGGCCAAUCAAACCGGGAGAUAGCUGGUUCUCCCCGAAAGCUAUUUAGGUAGCGCCUCGUGAAUUCAUCUUCGGGGGUAGAGCACUGUUUCGGCUAGGGGGUCAUCCCGACUUACCAACCCGAUGCAAACUACGAAUACCGAAGAAUGUUAUCACGGGAGACACACGGCGGGUGCUAACGUCCGUCGUGAAGAGGGAAACAACCCAGACCGCCAGCUAAGGUCCCAAAGUCAUGGUUAAGUGGGAAACGAUGUGGGAAGGCACAGACAGCCAGGAUGUUGGCUUAGAAGCAGCCAUCAUUUAAAGAAAGCGUAAUAGCUCACUGGUCGAGUCGGCCUGCGCGGAAGAUGUAACGGGGCUAAACCAUGCACCGAAGCUGCGGCAGCGACACUAUGUGUUGUUGGGUAGGGGAGCGUUCUGUAAGCCUGCGAAGGUGACCUGUGAGGGUUGCUGGAGGUAUCAGAAGUGCGAAUGCUGACAUAAGUAACGAUAAAGCGGGUGAAAAGCCCGCUCGCCGGAAGACCAAGGGUUCCUGUCCAACGUUAAUCGGGGCAGGGUGAGUCGACCCCUAAGGCGAGGCCGAAAGGCGUAGUCGAUGGGAAACAGGUUAAUAUUCCUGUACUUGGUGUUACUGCGAAGGGGGGACGGAGAAGGCUAUGUUAGCCGGGCGACGGUUGUCCCGGUUUAAGCAUGUAGGCUGGUUAUCCAGGCAAAUCCGGAUAAUCAAGGCUGAGGUGUGAUGACGAGGCACUACGGUGCUGAAGUAACAAAUGCCCUGCUUCCAGGAAAAGCCUCUAAGCAUCAGGUAACAUCAAAUCGUACCCCAAACCGACACAGGUGGUCAGGUAGAGAAUACCAAGGCGCUUGAGAGAACUCGGGUGAAGGAACUAGGCAAAAUGGUGCCGUAACUUCGGGAGAAGGCACGCUGGUGUGUAGGUGAAGUCCCUGCGGAUGGAGCUGAGACCAGUCGAAGAUACCAGCUGGCUGCAACUGUUUAUUAAAAACACAGCACUGUGCAAACACGAAAGUGGACGUAUACGGUGUGACGCCUGCCCGGUGCCGGAAGGUUAAUUGAUGGGGUUAUCCGUAAGGAGAAGCUCUUGAUCGAAGCCCCGGUAAACGGCGGCCGUAACUAUAACGGUCCUAAGGUAGCGAAAUUCCUUGUCGGGUAAGUUCCGACCUGCACGAAUGGCGUAAUGAUGGCCAGGCUGUCUCCACCCGAGACUCAGUGAAAUUGAACUCGCUGUGAAGAUGCAGUGUACCCGCGGCAAGACGGAAAGACCCCGUGAACCUUUACUAUAGCUUGACACUGAACAUUGAGCCUUGAUGUGUAGGAUAGGUGGGAGGCUUUGAAGCGUGGACGCCAGUCUGCGUGGAGCCAACCUUGAAAUACCACCCUUUAAUGUUUGAUGUUCUAACGUUGGCCCCUGACCGGGGUUGCGGACAGUGUCUGGUGGGUAGUUUGACUGGGGCGGUCUCCUCCCAAAGCGUAACGGAGGAGCACGAAGGUUAGCUAAUCCUGGUCGGACAUCAGGAGGUUAGUGCAAUGGCAUAAGCUAGCUUGACUGCGAGCGUGACGGCGCGAGCAGGUGCGAAAGCAGGUCAUAGUGAUCCGGUGGUUCUGAAUGGAAGGGCCAUCGCUCAACGGAUAAAAGGUACUCCGGGGAUAACAGGCUGAUACCGCCCAAGAGUUCAUAUCGACGGCGGUGUUUGGCACCUCGAUGUCGGCUCAUCACAUCCUGGGGCUGAAGUAGGUCCCAAGGGUAUGGCUGUUCGCCAUUUAAAGUGGUACGCGAGCUGGGUUUAGAACGUCGUGAGACAGUUCGGUCCCUAUCUGCCGUGGGCGCUGGAGAAUUGAGGGGGGCUGCUCCUAGUACGAGAGGACCGGAGUGGACGCAUCACUGGUGUUCGGGUUGUCAUGCCAAUGGCACUGCCCGGUAGCUAAAUGCGGAAGAGAUAAGUGCUGAAAGCAUCUAAGCACGAAACUUGCCCCGAGAUGAGUUCUCCCUGAGACUUUAAGUCUCCUGAAGGAACGUUGAAGACGAUGACGUUGAUAGGCCGGGUGUGUAAGCGCAGCGAUGCGUUGAGCUAACCGGUACUAAUGAACCGUGAGGCUUAACCUUACAACGCCGAAG